CGACCGGCGCACGGGUGAGUAACGCGUAUCCAACCUGCCCACCACUUGGGGAUAACCUCGCGAAAGUAAGACUAAUACCCAAUGAUAUCUCUAGAAGACAUCUGAAAGGGAUUAAAGAUUCAUCGGUGAUGGAUGGGGAUGCGUCUGAUUAGCUUGUUGGCGGGGUAACGGCCCACCAAGGCAACGAUCAGUAGGGGUUCUGAGAGGAAGGUCCCCCACAUUGGAACUGAGACACGGUCCAA
This 242-nucleotide ribosomal RNA is filed under the name uncultured bacterium. Its description in RNAcentral is "partial 16S ribosomal RNA". It matches the Rfam family "Bacterial small subunit ribosomal RNA", at positions 92 to 334 of the family's 1533-position model. The record is from RNAcentral.